CAUUGUGGGAAUAAAGAACAACAAAAACAAUAUAAUUCACUGUCAAAUAAUCAUUAGGCAAUAACGUAGCUAGAGUGAAUUUGGUGAGAAUUAUUUCUAAAAUAGUGAAAAUUAGAUGAAUUAGUGAAGUUUGCAGAUAGUGGCCAAGAAAAUUAUAGCUUUCGGAUAGUAGUAGAGUAACGAAGAGAACUAUUCAUUUUUGAGCUGCAACGCAACAAGCUGCUACGAAAAAGGUUUUCUUUGUUUUGAGAUCCGAACAGUUCAUGUACCGAAAUAUCAGUAAUUUCUAUUGAUUACGGAAAGUUUUCGUCCAAAAUAAAUUACCGAACAACGGAAUCAAAUCUUAGUGUGUACGAUCCCUUUUUUCGACUUCCGCAACCGAGAACUGGGAUCCGAGGAUCAGGGUCAUGUCGCCGAAAGCCGUUUCGCCGAAAGUCAUUUCGUCGAAAGGGUCAUUUCGCCGAAAGCCAUUUCGCCGAAAGGGUCAUUUCGCCAAUUCCUACAAAUGUCUUAAAAUCGUAAUGGGAAUCGAUUUAAAAUAAAGACAAAUUAAAAAUAAUAACGUUUAUGCCCGUUUUGUUGACCUACAAUUCUACUUCUUGAAUAAAGAUUGAUUCAUGAACCUCAGAACGGAGUUCCCAAAGAAACUUGUUGACUACUAAUCAUCAAAACAAUGCCAUAGGUAUCUACCAAGCAAAUGUAUGUGGUAUUUUCCGUUUACUAAAUAAAAAAAUAUUUAAUGCGGCUUCGCCAUAUCGAUUUGAUUAGUGUGCUGU
Molecule: long non-coding RNA, 776 nt
Organism: Malaya genurostris
Lineage: Eukaryota; Metazoa; Arthropoda; Insecta; Diptera; Culicidae
Exons: 3
Source: RefSeq, a predicted model, not a curated record